UAAGGAAUAUUGGUCAAUGGACGCAAGUCUGAACCAGCCAUGCCGCGUGAAGGAUGAAGGUCCUCUGGAUUGUAAACUUCUUUUAUAUGGGACGAAAAAAGGGCAUUCUUGCUCACUUGACGGUACCAUAGGAAUAAGCACCGGCUAACUCCGUGCCAGCAGCCGCGGUAAUACGGAGGGUGCAAGCGUUAUCCGGAUUCACUGGGUUUAAAGGGUGCGUAGGUGGGUUUGUAAGUCAGCGGUGAAAUCCCCAAGCUUAACUUGGGAACUGCCAUUGAUACUAUAGAUCUUGAAUCAUCUGGAGGUAAGCGGAAUAUGUCAUGUAGCGGUGAAAUGCUUAGAUAUGACAUAGAACACCAAUUGCGAAGGCAGCUUACUACGGGUGCAUUGACACUGAGGC
This 400-nucleotide ribosomal RNA is filed under the name uncultured bacterium. RNAcentral's name for it is "bacterial SSU rRNA". It matches the Rfam family "Bacterial small subunit ribosomal RNA", at positions 355 to 752 of the family's 1533-position model. The record is from RNAcentral.